This 72-nucleotide transfer RNA is filed under the name Camelus bactrianus (Bactrian camel). It matches the Rfam family "tRNA". Rfam says of the family: Transfer RNA (tRNA) molecules are approximately 80 nucleotides in length. Their secondary structure includes four short double-helical elements and three loops (D, anti-codon, and T loops). The record is from Rfam by way of RNAcentral. Lineage: Eukaryota; Metazoa; Chordata; Mammalia; Artiodactyla; Camelidae. RNAcentral also lists the same sequence under 2 other names.
AAGGGUAUAGCUUAGUGGUAGAGUGCAUGAUUAGCAUGCAGGAGGUCCUGGGUUCAAUUCCCAGUACUUAUG